UCAGUUCGGAUUGGAGUCUGCAACCCGACUCCAUGAAGCUGGAUUCGCUAGUAAUCGCGCAUCAGCCACGGCGCGGUGAAUACGUUUCCGGGGCCUUGUACACACCGCCCGUCAAGCCAUGGAAGCCGGGAGUGCCUGAAGUGCGUGACCGCAAGGAGCGUCCUAAGGCAAUACCGGUGACUGGGGCUAAGUCGUAACAAGGUACC
This 206-nucleotide ribosomal RNA is filed under the name uncultured bacterium. RNAcentral's name for it is "partial 16S ribosomal RNA". It matches the Rfam family "Bacterial small subunit ribosomal RNA", at positions 1288 to 1500 of the family's 1533-position model. The record is from RNAcentral.